RNAcentral lists this ribosomal RNA (756 nucleotides) under uncultured bacterium. RNAcentral describes it as "bacterial SSU rRNA". It matches the Rfam family "Bacterial small subunit ribosomal RNA", at positions 8 to 796 of the family's 1533-position model. The record is from RNAcentral.
AGAGUUUGAUCAUGGCUCAGAAUCAACGCUGGCGGCGCGCUUAACACAUGCAAGUCGCACGAGAAAGUGGAGCAAUCCAUGAGUACAGUGGCGUACGGGUGAGUAACACGUGGAUCAUCUACCUCUUGGUGGGGAAUAACCCUGGGAAACCGGGGCUAAUACCGCAUAAGCCUGCAAAGGGAAAGCAGCAAUGCGCCGGGAGAGGAGUCCGCGGCCGAUUAGCUAGUUGGCGGGGUAAAGGCCCACCAAGGCGAAGAUCGGUAGCCGGCCUGAGAGGGCACACGGCCACACUGGCACUGAAAUACGGGCCAGACUCCUACGGGAGGCAGCAGUGGGGAAUCUUGCACAAUGGAGGAAACUCUGAUGCAGCGACGCCGCGUGAGCGAUGAAGCCCUUCGGGGUGUAAAGCUCUUUCGACGGGAAAGAUUAUGACGGUACCCGAAGAAGAAGCUGCGGCUAACUACGUGCCAGCAGCCGCGGUAAUACGUAGGCAGCAAGCGUUGUUCGGAAUUACUGGGCGUAAAGAGUGUGUAGGCGGUGCUCUAAGUCUGUUGUGAAAUCUCCCGGCUUAACUGGGAGGGUGCGGCGGAAACUGGAGUGCUCGAGUGUGGGAGAGGUAAGCGGAAUUCCUGGUGUAGCGGUGAAAUGCGUAGAUAUCAGGAGGAACACCUGUGGUGUAGACAGCUUACUGGACCACGACUGACGCUGAGACACGAAAGCGUGGGUAGCAAACAGGAUUAGAUACCCUAGUAGUCC